UAGUCUCGCACAGAUGCAUAUCAAUAAGCGGAGGAAAAGAAACUAACAAGGAUUCCCCUAGUAACGGCGUGUGAAGCGGGAAGAGCUCAAAUUUGAAAUCUUAAAGGGUUUCCCUUUACGAAUUGUAGUUUAAAGAAGUGUUUUCUGUUGAGGUUUUGGUAAAAGUUCUUUGGAAUAGGACAUCAUAGAGGGUGAGAAUCCCGUAUUUGACCUUUACUUUCAACUUUGUGAUACACUUUCAAAGAGUCGGAUUGUUUGGGAAUGCAGUCCAAAAUGGGUGGUAAAUUUCAUCUAAAGCUAAAUAUUGGCGAGAGACCGAUAGCGAACAAGUACCGUGAGGGAAAGAUGAAAAGAACUUUGAAAAGAGAGUUAAACAGUACGUGAAAUUGUCAAAAGGGAAGCGUUUGACACCAGUGUUGUUUUUCCGAAAAUCAAUUAUAAAUGUUUUGUUUCUGAGGAGUGAUGACUUCAUCGGCUUCCUUCUCUCUUCACGAAACUUUUGUAAUGCACUUUUCGGUUAACAAGUCAACAUCAAUUUCUUUUGCUGUAAAAAAGCUUGAGGAAGGUGGCUUGAGAUUCGUCUUAAGUGUUUAUAGCCUCUUGCCUAUGCAGUCGGAGAGAUUGAGGUCUGCAGCGUAGAUCCUUCGGGGCUAAAUGCAUUUGUGCUAAGUUAUAGCAUUUUAUAGACAACUUGUUGACUAUGAUUUGUCUUGUAGCUUACUCGCUUAUGUUAUUUUACCUACGCUUAGGAUGUUGACAGCAGUAUAGACUGU
Molecule: ribosomal RNA, 773 nt
Filed under: uncultured Neocallimastigales
Lineage: Eukaryota; Fungi; Neocallimastigomycota; Neocallimastigomycetes; Neocallimastigales
Description: partial large subunit ribosomal RNA
Rfam family: Eukaryotic large subunit ribosomal RNA
Source: RNAcentral